Long non-coding RNA from Cyprinus carpio (common carp), 1818 nucleotides. The record is from Ensembl. Lineage: Eukaryota; Metazoa; Chordata; Actinopteri; Cypriniformes; Cyprinidae.
AUGAUACAUUUUAAAGCCCAUAUCGCCCAUCCCUAUACUGGGCCCACAUUCACUUCCUCACUUUGUCAUAAAAAAUGGUCUGCUGUACUGUGUCGCCCACAGGCUGGGGGGAGGAAAAAGUGCUUCGUGCCAAAGACCAAGAUGGAGACCGUCAUGGAACUAGCACAUACCCAUCCGAUGGCGGGACACCUGGGAGCCGAAAACACAGUCCAGCGCAUCCGGGACCGUUUCCACUGGCCAGGCCCGGAUGCGGAAGUGAAACGGUUCUGCCGAAGCUGCCCUACCUGCCAGAAGAAGGCGCCCCAUCGACCGUGGCGCAAAGGAUGGGACGAUCCUUUGCCGUCUUCAGUUGCUGGAGAAUGGAUGGCUUGGCUGGAAGACCUUCAUGACCUUGAAAAUUGGAAGGAGCUACUGGCUGAACUGCAUCUAGAAGUAAUGGUUGAAUAUGUGAGGCAAAUGAUGAAGAGAAAAUGGAAACUAAAAAAGACAAAGAGCAGCAAGAAGCAGCUGCUGAGUUCAUCUGCUCUGUGUUUGCCAAAGUGGGAUCCAGAGAGGAAUGGCUCUGUCAAAUACUGCCCAAAUCAUCAGAGAUUCUGAGACUGUAGGAUCCUGGGAGUUUGCAACAUAGUAAGAGACUGUUUUAACAUUAUGUGUGUCUGUUAGAUAGCAACUGGCAAGAUGCAGAUGUUUAACCUAAGAGGCAGAUGCUAGGCCACAACCAAAACCAUGAUAUUUCACUCUUUGACAUUACUGACCAGAGCGGUAAUUUUUUUAUAAUUUUCAAAUGUCUUGUUUUUUUUCCCUUAUAAUAUUAUACAAAUACCAUUUUAGACAGUUCCAGUAUAGAUAGCAUUAGCAGAAUGAACAAUUGUUUUGAAUUUAGAGUUUAGAAUUUGAUGAUCAGUCUUAGGCUGAGUUUACACUUUUGCUACGGUUAUGCCAGUCAUUUACACUACUCCAGCAUUUUCAACCCUCAAAAACAGAGACUUUCAAAAAUGCUGCAGACCCCAUUUUAGUUUGAAAACUCUGGGGUUGCAUUUCAGUGUAAACGAACCAGAACUGAGACUUUUGAAACUGAUGCCGUGGCUGCCAACAUUCCCUCUGCGUAUCCUUGACGACCGUGUAAACAAUUACAUCAUGCUCGUUGUUGUACCUGCAUGAAUGGUCAUGUGACAAUCCAAACACUUGUCUGAUGUUAUGAAGUGAGUUUAGAGUAAAAACAUGCUAUUAAAUGUAGUAUUUAAAUCGUAACAUAUUUUUAUUUUUACAUUUUAUAUAUAUGUACAUACAUGUAUUUGAUAUACUUUAUAUACAUUUUAUUAUACUUGUUACAUGUUUUAGCAUAUAGAUAUUAACAGCGUUUACCUGAAUACUAAUUUUUUUCUAAAUAUGAGCAUUAGUCUUAACAUCUAUAAAUACCUGAUAUUAAAUAAGUUAAAUGUAUAGACAUGGAUCUCAUGCAUUAUAUGCAUUACUGGAAUUUGUCAGUAAGGUUUUAUACUUAUUUUUUUGAUGGAAAUUAAUACUUUUCUUCAGUAAGAAGACAUUAAAUUAAUCAAAAGUGACAUUUAUAUUUACAGUCUAUAUAUUGUAUUUUUUUUUUUUUCUGCCUAGAAUGGUGGUCAAGCUCGUCAUUUCACUGUGUAAUUGAAGCUGAAUCCGAUUUGUCUGGUUAUCUCCAGGCUAAAGGAAAUUAAAGCAUAUACAUAUACAUACAAAUACAUAAUGUGAAGCUAAUAAUGACUCUUUCAUACACACUAUUGUAUUUUAAAAAUAGAUCUAAAUAAAAGACCUAAACAAAACCUCCUUUCUCUGAUG